CGGUUUAAGCGUGUAGGCUGGUUUUCCAGGCAAAUCCGGAAAAUCAAGGCUGAGGCGUGAUGACGAGGCACUACGGUGCUGAAGCAACAAAUGCCCUGCUUCCAGGAAAAGCCUCUAAGCAUCAGGUAACAUCAAAUCGUACCCCAAACCGACACAGGUGGUCAGGUAGAGAAUACCAAGGCGCUUGAGAGAACUCGGGUGAAGGAACUAGGCAAAAUGGUGCCGUAACUUCGGGAGAAGGCACGCUGAUAUGUAGGUGAAGUCCCUCGCGGAUGGAGCUGAAAUCAGUCGAAGAUACCAGCUGGCUGCAACUGUUUAUUAAAAACACAGCACUGUGCAAACACGAAAGUGGACGUAUACGGUGUGACGCCUGCCCGGUGCCGGAAGGUUAAUUGAUGGGGUCAGCGCAAGCGAAGCUCUUGAUCGAAGCCCCGGUAAACGGCGGCCGUAACUAUAACGGUCCUAAGGUAGCGAAAUUCCUUGUCGGGUAAGUUCCGACCUGCACGAAUGGCGUAAUGAUGGCCAGGCUGUCUCCACCCGAGACUCAGUGAAAUUGAACUCGCUGUGAAGAUGCAGUGUACCCGCGGCAAGACGGAAAGACCCCGUGAACCUUUACUAUAGCUUGACACUGAACAUUGAGCCUUGAUGUGUAGGAUAGGUGGGAGGCUUUGAAGUGUGGACGCCAGUCUGCAUGGAGCCGACCUUGAAAUACCACCCUUUAAUGUUUGAUGUUCUAACGUGGACCCGUGAUCCGGGUUGCGGACAGUGUCUGGUGGGUAGUUUGACUGGGGCGGUCUCCUCCUAAAGAGUAACGGAGGAGCACGAAGGUUGGCUAAUCCUGGUCGGACAUCAGGAGGUUAGUGCAAUGGCAUAAGCCAGCUUGACUGCGAGCGUGACGGCGCGAGCAGGUGCGAAAGCAGGUCAUAGUGAUCCGGUGGUUCUGAAUGGAAGGGCCAUCGCUCAACGGAUAAAAGGUACUCCGGGGAUAACAGGCUGAUACCGCCCAAGAGUUCAUAUCGACGGCGGUGUUUGGCACCUCGAUGUCGGCUCAUCACAUCCUGGGGCUGAAGUAGGUCCCAAGGGUAUGGCUGUUCGCCAUUUAAAGUGGUACGCGAGCUGGGUUUAGAACGUCGUGAGACAGUUCGGUCCCUAUCUGCCGUGGGCGCUGGAGAACUGAGGGGGGCUGCUCCUAGUACGAGAGGACCGGAGUGGACGCAUCACUGGUGUUCGGGUUGUCAUGCCAAUGGCACUGCCCGGUAGCUAAAUGCGGAAGAGAUAAGUGCUGAAAGCAUCUAAGCACGAAACUUGCCCCGAGAUGAGUUCUCCCUGACCCUUUAAGGGUCCUGAAGGAACGUUGAAGACGACGACGUUGAUAGGCCGGGUGUGUAAGCGCAGCGAUGCGUUGAGCUAACCGGUACUAAUGAACCGUGAGGCUUAACCUU
Molecule: ribosomal RNA, 1442 nt
Filed under: Escherichia coli
Lineage: Bacteria; Pseudomonadati; Pseudomonadota; Gammaproteobacteria; Enterobacterales; Enterobacteriaceae
Description: partial 23S ribosomal RNA
Rfam family: Bacterial large subunit ribosomal RNA
Source: RNAcentral